GUUUAGGCUGCUAAAAAAUAUCUAUCUAUCAGUAGUUUUAACAAAAUACAAAGGUCAUACAUAUUGACAAAUGGUUUGCUAUAGCAGAGAGGCUUGGCUUGGAGCGUGUAUCUAUUCUCGUCUCUUCUCUCGGACAGCAUUGUCAUGUGACACUUGUGUUCUGCAUACAUAUUUGUUCAUUGCCGGAAAGUUUCAUCCUUUUCGUUUGAGUUACUAUGGAAAAAUGUUUGAUUUGACUGCUGAAAAAUUCAUGGCCAAAGAAAUUGAAGUGUUGGUGGCGGUUGUUUGCCAUGUUUCAAAUGCUUGACAAAGGAAGGAUUUGACAGACAAAACUGUCCAGGUAAAUUUCCUUCACAUAAUCUAUGAAAUGUAUUUGGUGUGAUGUGUCGAAUACAUGUUCAUGUACUUGGAAAACUUCUGUCUAACUACAUCUUAUAACUUUUUUACUUUUACUUUUUGAACAUUUAUGCCAAUAUAAAUGAAAAUAUCACAAUAGUUAGAUAAUUUAUCACGUCUACAAUAUCAGUUCCAUGUUUAAAAUUUGUAUUUUAUGUUAGUGUUAAUUUCAGAAUAGUUUUACACGUAGUAUAGCCGAAUCAUAUCCCAUCAUUUUAAAAAAAAUUGCGGAAUACCUUUUUCUUGAUUUUAUCUCUGCUUUCAAUCCUCUUUUUACUUAUCGAUGGGGGAAAGUAAUUGUACUAGUUACUGUAGUAUUUUUUUUGGUAUAGUACGAAAGCUAAAAAAAAAAAAAAAAAAAAAAAAAAAACAAAGACAACAAAAAGGAAAAAGCCAACUAAAGGAAGGCUAAAUCAAGGGAGAAGCUAUCCAGCACAGCUUGCGGUGGAGUUCUCCAAGAGCACCACUUCCAGGAAGACUUUGCCCCAAGUUUGGCAAGGAUAUCAGCAACAGCAUUGGAACCACGGGGAGUAUGAGUCACCAAGACAGUCCAACACUUCUCCAAAAAGCUGCGAAUUUGGAGGAUCACCUGUGCAUGAGGGUGAAAAUUCAGAUCAGAUUGCCCGUUUACAGCAUUAACCACAUUCAAGGCAUCACUUUCACACAUACUGUAGUAUAAAUCUAUUUUAUGCCUGUUAUAUCUUGGUCUGGAGGUAAGACUAAGACUUUGCCUCUAUUUUCGCCGGUGCAUCAAUUUGUGUAAUCUUUUAUUAGAAUGCCUUUCAAACAAUUUGAAUGCUGUUCUAAUAUGGUUCAGUAUUCUAGUUUGUUACAGAAGUAUGAAAAGAUAGAUGUCAUUGUGCCACAUGCUGCUGCAAAUCCUUCUGUUAAUGCUAUUUUGCAAAACAAGAGUCGGUCCUUUACAAGCUGUGGGAGAUGAUUGUCAAGGCCUCUUUAAAUGCUUCUGAAGAAGGGUUCUUUCAUUAUCAUUUCUCCAGGUGCUGGUUAUGAUCUGCUAGCUUCUUUGGCUAUGUAUGGAGUGAGAAAAACAGCUCUUCUGGGACUUACCAAUAUUAGUACUUGGCUUGCCAUUUUUCAUUCAUGAAACCAAAUUCGGUGAAGUAAAAAAUUUCAUGCAUUCACAAUCUGAGAAUUGUAAUACAUUUUUUGGUGCUUCCACAAAAUGGUGAAUACUGUUAAGGUGGUCUGGACAGUAUAAAGAAAGCCAUUAAAAGCACAAUUGACGAGACUAGAUUGCAUGAAUUUUUGUUUGUUGAAAACAGAAAAAGGAGAAAGACCAAGAACUUAAGGGAGCAAAUAACAUGAGGAAAAGAAACAUGUCUUAAAUUUUUUAAUAAAUUAAAGGUUUUAUGCUUUUAAUUCAGGAUUGAAAAGGUGAUGGAAAUUUAUUUACAGGAAUAAUGGGUAAUGGUAGUAUGCUCUACACAGUGCUGCAUACUUCUCAAGGUGAUCCUCACUUUUGUAACACAUUAUACAACACAACAACUAUGCAAAAGAAUCUACCU
Molecule: long non-coding RNA, 1922 nt
Organism: Cajanus cajan (pigeon pea)
Lineage: Eukaryota; Viridiplantae; Streptophyta; Magnoliopsida; Fabales; Fabaceae
Source: RefSeq, a predicted model, not a curated record